UACGGAGGAUGCAAGCGUUAUCCGGAAUGAUUGGGCGUAAAGCGUCCGCAGGUGGCAAUGUAAGUCUGCUGUCAAAGCGUCUGGCUCAACCAGAUAAAGGCAGUGGAAACUACAUAGCUAGAGUAAGGUAGGGGUAGAGGGAAUUCCUGGUGUAGCGGUGAAAUGCGUAGAGAUCAGGAAGAACACCGGUGGCGAAAGCGCUCUGCUGGACCUUAACUGACACUGUAGAGCGAAAGCGUGGGGAGCGAACAGG
This 253-nucleotide ribosomal RNA is filed under the name uncultured bacterium. RNAcentral describes it as "partial 16S ribosomal RNA". It matches the Rfam family "Bacterial small subunit ribosomal RNA", at positions 524 to 776 of the family's 1533-position model. The record is from RNAcentral.